This 1684-nucleotide long non-coding RNA is filed under the name Ricinus communis (castor bean). Its description in RNAcentral is "long non-coding RNA (RCOM_LNC000673)". The record is from RNAcentral. Lineage: Eukaryota; Viridiplantae; Streptophyta; Magnoliopsida; Malpighiales; Euphorbiaceae.
UCGCAUUUUGUGUGGAUAAUUUUCUAUUAAUAUUUUUAUUAUUAUAUUUAAAUAAUAAAUAAAAAUAUUAAUUAAUUCUAUGGGCCUAGAGAGUUGUGCUCGAUUAGGACACAUUAUCAAAUAUUUUUCCAUUACCUGACUUUGAUUUUCACCGGUGCGGAUGCAUCUUAAUGUAGCCCAUCAGGUGGCAUGUUCUACUGUUGCCUCAUUCCGAGCCAUAAUAUAUAUUUAACAUCAAUUAAAAUUUAAGAACCAUGAUGCAUAAAAUUUUACAAUAUUAAUAAUAUUUAAACAAUAAUAACAGUAAUGUUAAUGUUAAUAAUAAUAAUAAUAAUAAUAAUAAUAAUAAUAAUAAUAAUACUUGAGAUGAAAAUAAAGGUAAUGACGCAAUAAUAAUAAUGAUAAUAAUAAUAAUAAUAAUAAUAAUAACAGGCAUUAUAUCAAUAUUAAUAAUAUUGGUAGAAAAGAAGACAAAAAUAAAUUUAAUCUUACUUAUAAUACUACAAUAACCAAAUUAAUUAUUCAAUUAAGAAUUCCAUUGAAAUGCAGAUAUGAUACAUGCGGAAGAAUAUAUGAUUCUAACUCACAUAGUUCUGCCGAGUUCCGUUGUCUGCUCCUACACCUCGAGUGGAGCUGGCUGGACUGAAGGAUUAUUUGUUCAUGAAAAAUAAUUGAAUUGGUAAAAUAUUUAUAACUUUUCCUAGGCUUAGACUCCUAGAUUAGAAUGCCUAAGAAAUUCUGAUUCAAAAAUUCUAUCGAAAAUUCGGCAGAACUUCCUCUAAAAUAUAGACAUUUACCUCCCGUAUAACGGGUGCAAAACUUGCUAGAAAUAUUUUAAAUAUUUCAUAAUUAUUUAAUCGGAGUCGGGCCACAAACUGUAUUAUUUUUUGACUCAGCAACACAAUCCAAAUCACAAUACAAAAUCAACAGUCCGGCAAAAAUAAUAAUAUUAUUCACGAUAUAAUCACAUAAUUAUUUUCUUACAUUUAAUUUAAUUAAUUACAGCCUCAAUUUACACAAUAAGAUCAACAAUAUUUCUAGGAUCAUGCUACUCAUUUAUUAGAUAAUUUAAUUAAUUAAUAAUAACUAACAAUUGAUACACCCAAUAUUUUCUAAUAAUUUUAAAAUAAUUCUCAAAAUCUAAAUAAAAUUAUACCUAGUCGAAACUCGAAAUUCUGCGCGUCCGGAAAACACCAGGGUUCGGAAGCCCGUACUGCUAAUGGUGUUAGAUUUCAAAUUCGAAGAAACCUACGUGAAAUUUGAGUUGCGGCGAGUUUGAUGAUGUGAUUGUUUCUAUUGGAAACUCAUUGGAAGCCACUGGAUCGAGGUCAGAAAGUUUCGGCUCUAGCGAGGCUCACACACUAUUGCCAGCAGAGGAAAAAUGGCAGGGAAGCUUAGCUUGGGAGUUUUUGACGGUGGGGAACUCGUUUCCAGCGUCGGAUAGAUGAAAGGAUGGUGGUAGGAGGUCGAACCGGCGAUGGCAGCAUGGGAGGCAACUUCUUCUCCUUAGUGCGGCGAGGGAACGACGAGAGAAAGGGGAAAAGGACGAUGCUGAAGAGAAAUAAAAGUAGGAGCGAAGUUGGAUGCCUGGCGACGGCGAGGCUGUGGCUGGAAAUGGAAAGGAGUUGGGGGAUAAGGAGGUGGCGUCGGGGAGAGAAAGAGAAGAGGGAAAUUUUUUUAUAAU